This 359-nucleotide ribosomal RNA is filed under the name uncultured bacterium. RNAcentral describes it as "partial 16S ribosomal RNA". It matches the Rfam family "Bacterial small subunit ribosomal RNA", at positions 338 to 696 of the family's 1533-position model. The record is from RNAcentral.
CCUACGGGAGGCUGCAGUGAGGAAUAUUGGUCAAUGGGCGAGAGCCUGAACCAGCCAUGUCGCGUGAGGGAGUACUGCCCUAUGGGUUGUAAACCUCUUUUGUCGGGGAGCAAAAGCCGGACGUGUCCGGCUGUGAGAGUAACCGAAGAAACAGCAUCGGCUAACUCCGUGCCAGCAGCCGCGGUCAGACGGAGGAUGCGAGGGUUAUCCGGAUUUAUUGGGUUUAAAGGGUCCGCAGGCGGAUUUUGAGGUCGACGGUCAAUUCGUGGGCGUAAACCGCAUCCAGCCGUUGAUACUGGGGAUCUAGAGUGUGCGAGAGGUAUGCGGAAUGCGUGGUGUAGCGGUGAAAUGCAUAGAGA